AUGUUCAGUUGCACUCAAUACGUAUACCCUGAGUCUAUCUAAUAGACGUACACUAUGAAUGAAUCGCUUCUGUUUGAGUUGAUUGUAUUUCUUUAUUCUCUCUUUAGCUGGAGAUUCUUUUGGUUUCAUAUAUGGUGUUUGGACACCCUGGAAAAAACAUACGAAGAUGUCAUGAAUCUCUUAGCUUUUUUGAGUUUUAUUCUGCUGGAUCUCAUGCUUCUUAAACCCUCCAUUUGUCAUUUAUAUAUGCACUUGCGUGCUUAGUUUUAUUUCAUGCCUUUGAUUAGUGGCAGCAUCAACUUUUUGAUGAGUAAAGAGGUAACUUUUUACUUUUGAUUGAUGAAUGAGCUUUUUGCUUAUUGUGUUUCGUUAGGAAUUGUAUAUCAAUUUAAUCUAAUCCUUUUUUUUCGGGUGCAAAAUGGAAAUAUGAACGACAAUUGAAGGCAUACAACAAAAAACUGGUAAUGAUAUUGUUCACUAUUAUUUCUGAGUGCUGAGUGGCAUUUGUCGAUUGUAAUAGGCUAGCAAGGAAGAUGAGGAGUCGGACAAGUCCAAAUCCGAGGUGAAUGAUGAGGAGGGGAGCGGGGAGGUUAGCGUAAGUGAAGCUCGAUUUAUUCAUUCAUCUUUUGUGAAGAAUUUUGGGCAAAUUUUGGUAACAAGAAGCCAGCUUUUGUUUUAAAAUGUCGUGCAGGAGGAAGAAGAAGAUGACGACUGAGUAAAUUUUGAAUUCGAUGAUGAAGAUGUUUGGUUACAGUCGUAAUAUGUUAUAUAUCUACUGUAUAUGAAAUUCUUCUUCUCCACAACAUGAAUAGGGCCAAUCUUUUAGUGUUAUCCACUGAUGCAGAGUUUCGAAUUUUUUUUUGAAUUGCUGUGGAAGCCAUUUUCAAGCAUUAUAAUUGAUACUUUUUGGAGCCAUUUAUGAUCUGCCUUUAUUUUCUCCACUCCCUUUCUGAUCUACCUAUGUUACACAACACAUGGCCUUUUAUAAAUGAAAGGCCCUUUAUAAGUUUUGUAUUUAUUAAUUCAUAUUUUAUAAAGUAUAUGCUUCAUUAUAUACUAAUGUUGUGACACACUUUGAUUGCUUAACAAUUUUACAGGACUGUGAGAUCACAUGGUGAUUCAAUUUCAGAAGCCAAAACAACAAAUUUCAGAAGCCAAAACAGCAGAUGAAAAAGUUCAGUCCCCAUCCUCAAAGUAAGCAAAUCAUUAUCUUAGAUUUUAAGAUGAGGAUGUGAUGCGCUGCAUAUACUGGGAAUGUUAAUAGUGGGUGAUUUUUAUUGGUUAAUUACCAAACUGUAGAAGAGGUUAUAUGAUUUGGAUUUUGAGGUGAUGUUAUAUUGUUUAAUUUUUCGGAACAAAUAUGUGAGUUUUAUUUCUAUUUACAUUCUUGAGAAAUCUGUUUUCAAAUUUUGCAUAUUAUGUGUUUGACAAAAUGCUUGAUAGAACCCUGCGAAUUUUUCUUUACAUUCUUGAGAUUGUCUCUUGCUGAUUCUUUUCUUCUUUUUUUGUUGCAG
Molecule: long non-coding RNA, 1514 nt
Filed under: Salvia miltiorrhiza (redroot sage)
Lineage: Eukaryota; Viridiplantae; Streptophyta; Magnoliopsida; Lamiales; Lamiaceae
Description: long non-coding RNA (SMIL_LNC006348)
Source: RNAcentral